This 467-nucleotide ribosomal RNA is filed under the name uncultured bacterium. RNAcentral describes it as "partial 16S ribosomal RNA". It matches the Rfam family "Bacterial small subunit ribosomal RNA", at positions 28 to 506 of the family's 1533-position model. The record is from RNAcentral.
GACGAAUGCUGGCGGCGUGCUUAACACAUGCAAGUCGAACGGAAAGGCCCUGCUUUUGUGGGGUGCUCGAGUGGCGAACGGGUGAGUAACACGUGAGUAACCUGCCCUUGACUUUGGGAUAACUUCAGGAAACUGGGGCUAAUACCGGAUAGGAGCUCCUGCUGCAUGGUGGGGGUUGGAAAGUUUCGGCGGUUGGGGAUGGACUCGCGGCUUAUCAGCUUGUUGGUGGGGUAGUGGCUUACCAAGGCUUUGACGGGUAGCCGGCCUGAGAGGGUGACCGGCCACAUUGGAACUGGGAUACGGCCCAGACUCCUACGGGGGGCAGCGGGGGGGAAUAUGGCACAAGGGGCGGAAGCCGGAUGCAGCAACGCCGCGUGCGGGAGGACGGCCUUCGGGUGGUAAACCGCUUUCGCCGGUGACGAAGCGUGGGUGACGGUAAUGGGGAAAGAAGCACCGGCUAACUACGU